UGGCUCAGAUGGUAAAGCGUUUGCCUGCAGUGCAGGAGACCCAGGUUUGAUCCCUGG
This 57-nucleotide transfer RNA is filed under the name Ovis aries (sheep). It matches the Rfam family "tRNA", at positions 8 to 63 of the family's 71-position model. Rfam says of the family: Transfer RNA (tRNA) molecules are approximately 80 nucleotides in length. Their secondary structure includes four short double-helical elements and three loops (D, anti-codon, and T loops). Lineage: Eukaryota; Metazoa; Chordata; Mammalia; Artiodactyla; Bovidae. The record is from Rfam by way of RNAcentral.